AUGAUUGGUGCACACAACAAUAGUGAAGUUCCUUCAACUUUUCUGCAGGAGGAAAGUAUUGGAUUGUCAUUACCUCUCUUUCAACCUGACAAGGGUGAUCCAUCUCAUUCCAGAAAUCAAGGACAGGUAUUUCAUCCUGAUCCUUUUCAUUUUUCAGCUUGUCUGGAAAAGCAACUUCCAAAGCCAGAUCCAGAUUCUAUUAUUGGAUUUAUGGAUAAGCCAGAAAAACAGGAAAGUCAUUCUGAAGAACUGUCAUCACACCAUCCAAGUAAACCACAAGAAAAUAGUCAACGAUGGAGUACAAGUGAAAAUGAAGUGAACUGGCUGAAACAAGAUACUCUAAAUGAACAGACUGAACUGGAGAGAAAACUUCAGGAAGCUGAGAUUGCAGCUAAUUCUGUAGUGUCACUGAUACCAUUAUUUAAAGACUUCCUUGCUGGGUUUAAUAGUGAAAGUGUGAGCAGUUCAGUUGACAUAUUGAAGGCCAAGUUAGCUGAUAAUGAACGUGAAAAUAAUGUAAGUUCUUUCCUUCUAUCUUUGUCUCUCUUAUUUUGCUGCCUUGUGUAUUAUUUAAUUUUGUAA
This 582-nucleotide long non-coding RNA is filed under the name Phascolarctos cinereus (koala). Its description in RNAcentral is "lncRNA (ENSPCIG00000034537.1)". The record is from RNAcentral. Lineage: Eukaryota; Metazoa; Chordata; Mammalia; Diprotodontia; Phascolarctidae.